UGGGGAAUUUUGGACAAUGGGCGCAAGCCUGAUCCAGCAAUGCCGCGUGUGUGAAGAAGGCCUUCGGGUUGUAAAGCACUUUUGUCCGGAAAGAAAACCUCGUGGUUAAUACCCGUGGGGGAUGACGGUACCGGAAGAAUAAGCACCGGCUAACUACGUGCCAGCAGCCGCGGUAAUACGUAGGGUGCAAGCGUUAAUCGGAAUUACUGGGCGUAAAGCGUGCGCAGGCGGUCCGCUAAGACAGAUGUGAAAUCCCCGGGCUUAACCUGGGAACUGCAUUUGUGACUGGCGGGCUAGAGUAUGGCAGAGGGGGGUAGAAUUCCACGUGUAGCAGUGAAAUGCGUAGAGAUGUGGAGGAAUACCGAUGGCGAAGGCAGCCCCCUGGGCCAAUACUGACGCUCAUGCACGAAAGCGUGGGGAGCAAACA
RNAcentral lists this ribosomal RNA (427 nucleotides) under uncultured Burkholderia sp. RNAcentral's name for it is "bacterial SSU rRNA". It matches the Rfam family "Bacterial small subunit ribosomal RNA", at positions 355 to 774 of the family's 1533-position model. The record is from RNAcentral. Lineage: Bacteria; Pseudomonadati; Pseudomonadota; Betaproteobacteria; Burkholderiales; Burkholderiaceae.